RNAcentral lists this ribosomal RNA (1587 nucleotides) under Porichthys myriaster (specklefin midshipman). RNAcentral's name for it is "16S ribosomal RNA". It matches the Rfam family "Bacterial large subunit ribosomal RNA". Lineage: Eukaryota; Metazoa; Chordata; Actinopteri; Batrachoidiformes; Batrachoididae. The record is from RNAcentral.
ACUGCCAAUUUGCUAGUCAAAUAUAACAACUAUAACCCACAAAAUCCCCUUAAACCCCUAAAUAAAAUAUUUUACCGCUCUAGUAUGGACGAUAGAAAAAGGCCUAUGAACUAUAGAAAAAGUACCGCAAGGGAAAGCUGAAAAAGAAUUGAAAGAAUAAUUUAAGCACAAAAAAGCAGGCAUUAAACCCCGUACCUUUUGCAUCAUGGAUUAGCUAGUCAAAAGAGCACAGCCUCUCUUAAGUUCUAUCCCCCGAAACUGUAGGAGCUACUUCAGGCCAUCAACUAAAGGAUUAUACCCCCCUCUGUGGCAAAAGAGCGGGAAGAGCCUCAAGUAGAGACGAAACAUCUACCGUAUACAGUUAUAGCUGGUUGCCCAAGAAAUGAAUAGAAGUUCAGCCCCGUAGCUCUUUAAUUCUACUAAUAGAACCUAAAGAACUACUGGAGUUAUUAAAGGGGGGACAGCUCCUUUAAUACCAGAAACAACUGCCUAAUGCGGAUAAAGUUCAUAUUAAAAAUCACCCACUUUAGAGUAGGCUUAAUACCAGCCACCCCAAAAGAAAGCGUUAAAGCUCAAAUACCCCACAAUUAAAUUCCGAUCCAUUAACUUAGUCCCACAACUUAUUGGGCCCUACUAUCUAAUAGUAGAGACAAUGCUAGUAUGAGUAAUAAGAGGCCUCACCUCUCCUUACAUACCUGUUUAUCACCCCCGAACCACGAUUGAAAAUUACUCGGCCCCAACAGAGGGUAAUGAAUACUACAUAAACAACUAGAAAAACAAACUCAUUAAACCGUAGACCCCACACAGGCAUGUGCCCUAGGAAAGAUUAAAAGAAAAUAAAGGAACUCGGCAAACAUAAAUCCCGCCUGUUUACCAAAAACAUCGCUUCUUGACCUUAUAAGAAGUCCCGUCUGCCCUGUGAUAUAAUUUAACGGCUGCAGUAACACAACUGCACAAAGGUAGCGUAAUCACUUGUCUUUUAAUUGAAGACCUGUAUGAAUGGCAUCACGAGGAUUUAACUGUCUCUAUUUUCUAAUCAAUAAAAUUGUUCUCUUCGUGCAGAAACGAAGAUACCCCUAUAAGACGAGAAGACCCUGUGGAGCUUCAAGUAAACUAAGAGUGUUUCAAAAUACACCAACUUACGCUUACUUUCGGUUGGGGCGACCGUGAAGAACAAAAUAACCUUCAUAAGGAAUAGAAUAACCUUAAACACGAACAACAGUUCUAGUUAUCAGAAUAUCUGACCUCUAAGACCCAGCAUGCCUGAUUAAUGAACCAAGUUACCCCAGGGAUAACAGCGCAAUUUUCUUCAAGAGUCCUUAUCGACAAGAAAGUUUACGACCUCGAUGUUGGAUCAGGACAUCCCAAUGGUGCAACCGUCAUUAAUGGUUCGUUUGUUCAACGAUUAAAGUCCUACGUGAUCUGAGUUCAGACCGAAGCAAUUCAGGUCAGUUUCUAUCUAUAUUUUAUUUUUCUUCAGUACGAAAGGACAAAGAAAAGAAGGCCAAUGACUCCAUUACGCCUUACCUUAAGACACUAAAUUACCCUAAAAUGUUUACAAGGAAUAUUCCCUCAUUUAAAGACCCU